AUGGCUCAGGAUGAACGCUAGCUACAGGCUUAACACAUGCAAGUCGCGGGGCAGCAUGACGGUUGCUUGCAAUUGUUGAUGGCGACCGGCGCACGGGUGAGUAACGCGUAUCCAACCUUCCCCAUAGUAGGGUAUAGCCCGGCGAAAGUCGGAUUAAUCCCCUAUGUUGUUUGAAGCGGACAUCUAAUUCAAACCAAAGAUUUAUCGCUAUGGGAUGGGGAUGCGUCUGAUUAGGUUGCAGGCGGGGUAACGGCCCACCUGGCCGACGAUCAGUAGGGGUUCUGAGAGGAAGGUCCCCCACACUGGUACUGAGACACGGACCAGACUCCUACGGGAGGCAGCAGUGAGGAAUAUUGGUCAAUGGGCGCGAGCCUGAACCAGCCAAGUAGCGUGCAAGGAUGACGGCCCUACGGGUUGUAAACUGCUUUUAUGCGGGGAUAAAGUGCGGCACGUGUGCCGUUUUGCAGGUACCGCAUGAAUAAGGACCGGCUAAUUCCGUGCCAGCAGCCGC
This 511-nucleotide ribosomal RNA is filed under the name uncultured bacterium. Its description in RNAcentral is "bacterial SSU rRNA". It matches the Rfam family "Bacterial small subunit ribosomal RNA", at positions 19 to 518 of the family's 1533-position model. The record is from RNAcentral.